GAGGAAUAUUGGUCAAUGGACGAGAGUCUGAACCAGCCAAGUAGCGUGAAGGAUGACUGCCCUAUGGGUUGUAAACUUCUUUUAUACGGGAAUAAAGUUAGCCACGUGUGGCUUUUUGUAUGUACCGUAUGAAUAAGGAUCGGCUAACUCCGUGCCAGCAGCCGCGGUAAUACGGAGGAUCCGAGCGUUAUCCGGAUUUAUUGGGUUUAAAGGGAGCGUAGGCGGGUUGUUAAGUCAGUUGUGAAAGUUUGCGGCUCAACCGUAAAAUUGCAGUUGAUACUGGCGACCUUGAGUGCAACAGAGGUAGGCGGAAUUCGUGGUGUAGCGGUGAAAUGCUUAGAUAUCACGAAGAACUCCGAUUGCGAAGGCAGCUUACUGGAUUGUAACUGACGCUGAUGCUCGAAAGUGUGGGUAUCAAACAGGAUUAGAUACCCUGGUAGUCCACACAGUAAACGAUGAAUACUCGCUGUUGGCGAUAUACGGUCAGCGGCCAAGCGAAAGCAUUAAGUAUUCCACCUGGGGAGUACGCCGGCAACGGUGAAACUCAAAGGAAUUGACGGGGGCCCGCACAAGCGGAGGAACAUGUGGUUUAAUUCGAUGAUACGCGAGGAACCUUACCCGGGCUUAAAUUGCAACUGACUGAACCGGAAACGGUUCUUUCUUCGGACAGUUGUGAAGGUGCUGCAUGGUUGUCGUCAGCUCGUGCCGUGAGGUGUCGGCUUAAGUGCCAUAACGAGCGCAACCCUUAUCGAUAGUUACCAUCAGGUUAUGCUGGGGACUCUGUCGAGACUGCCGUCGUAAGAUGUGAGGAAGGUGGGGAUGACGUCAAAUCAGCACGGCCCUUACGUCCGGGGCUACACACGUGUUACAAUGGGGGGUACAGAAGGCAGCUACACGGCGACGUGAUGCUAAUCCCGAAAGCCUCUCUCAGUUCGGAUUGGAGUCUGCAACCCGACUCCAUGAAGCUGGAUUCGCUAGUAAUCGCGCAUCAGCCACGGCGCGGUGAAUACGUUCCCG
This 1017-nucleotide ribosomal RNA is filed under the name uncultured organism. RNAcentral describes it as "bacterial SSU rRNA". It matches the Rfam family "Bacterial small subunit ribosomal RNA", at positions 356 to 1376 of the family's 1533-position model. The record is from RNAcentral.